Molecule: long non-coding RNA, 248 nt
Filed under: Callithrix jacchus (white-tufted-ear marmoset)
Lineage: Eukaryota; Metazoa; Chordata; Mammalia; Primates; Cebidae
Description: lncRNA (ENSCJAG00000074669.1)
Source: RNAcentral
GGCCUCUGAAGCCAGCCUGCCUGGGGCAAUUGGGCUGCACCACCUGCCAGCUGUACAACCCUGGAAAGGUCCAUUCCAUACUCUCUCGGAGAUGACCAUGUCUUCGCAGGCAGCAGGCUCACAUACUCCCACCGCUACGGAGACUCCUACAACCUCACCACAAUCUUUUGUAUAGGAACUCACCUGCUUCUGAAUCAUUGAAGGAGUUACAUUAUUCUCAUUUCAUUAAAGAAUAGGUUACUAAAGAC